Molecule: ribosomal RNA, 508 nt
Filed under: Vibrio mediterranei
Lineage: Bacteria; Pseudomonadati; Pseudomonadota; Gammaproteobacteria; Vibrionales; Vibrionaceae
Description: bacterial SSU rRNA
Rfam family: Bacterial small subunit ribosomal RNA
Source: RNAcentral
AGCCUGAUGCAGCCAUGCCGCGUGUGUGAAGAAGGCCUUCGGGUUGUAAAGCACUUUCAGCAGUGAGGAAGGCGGGUACGUUAAUAGCGUGCUCGUUUGACGUUAGCUGCAGAAGAAGCACCGGCUAACUCCGUGCCAGCAGCCGCGGUAAUACGGAGGGUGCGAGCGUUAAUCGGAAUUACUGGGCGUAAAGCGCAUGCAGGUGGUUCGUUAAGUCAGAUGUGAAAGCCCGGGGCUCAACCUCGGAACUGCAUUUGAAACUGGCGGACUAGAGUACUGUAGAGGGGGGUAGAAUUUCAGGUGUAGCGGUGAAAUGCGUAGAGAUCUGAAGGAAUACCGGUGGCGAAGGCGGCCCCCUGGACAGAUACUGACACUCAGAUGCGAAAGCGUGGGGAGCAAACAGGAUUAGAUACCCUGGUAGUCCACGCCGUAAACGAUGUCUACUUGGAGGUUGUGGCCUUGAGCCGUGGCUUUCGGAGCUAACGCGUUAAGUAGACCGCCUGGGGAG